CGAUUUGAGAUCAUUCUUACUACAACAGCCAGUUUCUACAGUCUGUGCCUUUUGUUUUCAUUAUGGUCUCAGUUCCCAGCAACACAUAAACACCCAUGAAGAUGAGGGUCAGAAGUUCAAGGUUUCCUUAGCUAUAGCUAAGAAUUGAAAACUAGCAUGAGAUACAUGAGAUAUUUUAUAAUAAUAAUAAUUUUAAAGAGAA
This is a long non-coding RNA of Mastomys coucha (southern multimammate mouse), 202 nucleotides long. RefSeq lists it as uncharacterized. The transcript has 2 exons. NCBI's taxonomy places the organism in Eukaryota, Metazoa, Chordata, Mammalia, Rodentia, Muridae. The record is from RefSeq and is a predicted model, not a curated record.